Molecule: non-coding RNA, 611 nt
Organism: Spea bombifrons (plains spadefoot toad)
Lineage: Eukaryota; Metazoa; Chordata; Amphibia; Anura; Pelobatidae
Source: the annotation of a RefSeq genome assembly
AAUGGCCCGUUCUGCAGACAGGGGCUCAGUGAUCUGUAUCAGACCCGAGUGCAGCGAUCAAGAUGAUGUCACACAGCUGUUUGCUGAUCAUAUUAACCAUCUGGGUUCAUGGAUCCUGUGGACAGAUUGUGAUGUCUCAGACUCCAGACUCUGUCUCUGUGUCACCAGGAGAACGCGUCACCAUGACAUGUAAAGCCAGUUCUGGUAUUAGCAACUACCUAAACUGGUACCAACAGAAACCAGGACAACCCCCAAAGCUCCUGAUCUAUUAUGCCAGCAGCAGACACACCGGGACCCCAGAGCGGUUCAGCGGCAGCGGGUCGGGAACUGAUUUCACUUUAACCAUCAGCGGAGCGCAAGCAGAAGAUGCAGCAGAUUAUUACUGUCAGCAGCGUCAGAGCUGGCCUCUCACAGUGAUACAGAGCCAAUGCCAAGGAGAGAUUGUGGUAACUCAGACUCCAGAAUCUGCGCAUGUAUUUCCAGGGGACCCGGGUACCAUCAGCUGUAAGACCAGUAGCAGUGUAUAUCACAGCGGCUAUAGUGUUAUAGUACGGCACUGGCACCAACAGGAACCAGGACAACGCCCAAAGCCCCUUUAUGAUGGUCUAUGA